This 378-nucleotide unclassified non-coding RNA is filed under the name uncultured Nocardiopsaceae bacterium. RNAcentral describes it as "contains 16S-23S intergenic spacer region". The record is from RNAcentral. Lineage: Bacteria; Bacillati; Actinomycetota; Actinomycetes; Streptosporangiales; Nocardiopsidaceae.
UCCGAGUUGACCCCGGCAGUCUCCUAUGAGUCCCCACCAUUACGUGCUGGCAACAUAGAACAAGGGUUGCGCUCGUUGCGGGACUUAACCCAACAUCUCACGACACGAGCUGACGACAGCCAUGCACCACCUGUCACCCACCAACUAAAUGACCCUGUAUCUCUACAGGUCCACGGGUGAUGUCAAACCUUGGUAAGGUUCUUCGCGUUGCGUCGAAUUAAGCAACAUGCUCCACCGCUUGUGCGGGCCCCCGUCAAUUCCUUUGAGUUUCAGCCUUGCGGCCGUACUCCCCAGGCGGGGCACUUAAUGCGUUAGCUGCGACACCGAUGGGAUCGGUCCCACCGGCAUCUAGUGCCCAUCGUUUACAGCGUGGACUAC